GUUUCUCACAAGAGCCUGCAUAAGGUCAACUCAUAAUAUGUAUGCAUCAACAGUAAAGAUUACAAAGUAAACGUUGAAGCAAAAAGAAUGGCGGGAGCCUAACCGUUUUGUAGUUAUCAAUGGUUACAAAUCCAUUUUGUGGCUCCAAAAGCUUGAAUUGGGUCCUGAGUGACAGAUUACCUUCAAUGCUGCACGCUUGAAAGGAGUUGCACGAAGAUAUGCCUUAACUGACUUGUAUAUGAAGUUAUCCAAGGGCACGGCAAGAUCUUCAUCUCGUAACCACGGGUGUGCUGUGAAUCAAAGAAGGCGUUUCACAAAAUCUUUAGCUUCUGGAGAGAUGGUCGGCCAAGGGGAAUCAUCGAAGUUAGGAUCGGCUCUUAGCACAGAGCGAAAGAUUCCUGAUUCAGUUCUUGCCCAGAAAGGUCUGCUCCCAC
Molecule: non-coding RNA, 434 nt
Organism: Cucurbita pepo subsp. pepo (vegetable marrow)
Lineage: Eukaryota; Viridiplantae; Streptophyta; Magnoliopsida; Cucurbitales; Cucurbitaceae
Source: RefSeq, a predicted model, not a curated record